RNAcentral lists this non-coding RNA (253 nucleotides) under uncultured bacterium. RNAcentral's name for it is "partial 16S ribosomal RNA". It matches the Rfam family "Bacterial small subunit ribosomal RNA", at positions 524 to 776 of the family's 1533-position model. The record is from RNAcentral. RNAcentral also lists the same sequence under 1 other name.
UACGUAGGCAGCAAGCGUUGUUCGGAGUUACUGGGCGUAAAGGGUGCGUAGGCGGCCGCAAAAGUAUGGUGUGAAAUCUCCCGGCUUAACUGGGAGGGUGCGCUAUAAACUGCGUGGCUAGAGUGUGGGAGAGGAAAGUGGAAUUCCUGGUGUAGCGGUGAAAUGCGUAGAUAUCAGGAGGAACACCGGUGGUGUAAACGGCUUUCUGGACCAUAACUGACGCUGAGGCACGAAAGCGUGGGUAGCAAACAGG